RNAcentral lists this ribosomal RNA (269 nucleotides) under uncultured prokaryote. RNAcentral describes it as "partial 16S ribosomal RNA". It matches the Rfam family "Bacterial small subunit ribosomal RNA", at positions 524 to 792 of the family's 1533-position model. The record is from RNAcentral.
UACGGAGGGUGCGAGCGUUAAUCGGAAUUACUGGGCGUAAAGCGCGCGUAGGCGGUCUGAUCAGCCGGUUGUGAAAGCCCCGGGCUCAACCUGGGAACGGCAUCCGGAACUGUCAGGCUAGAGUGCAGGAGAGGAAGGUAGAAUUCCCGGUGUAGCGGUGAAAUGCGUAGAGAUCGGGAGGAAUACCAGUGGCGAAGGCGGCCUUCUGGACUGACGCUGACGCUGAGGUGCGAAAGCGUGGGUAGCAAACAGGAUUAGAUACCCUGGUA